RNAcentral lists this ribosomal RNA (487 nucleotides) under uncultured bacterium. RNAcentral describes it as "partial 16S ribosomal RNA". It matches the Rfam family "Bacterial small subunit ribosomal RNA", at positions 28 to 507 of the family's 1533-position model. The record is from RNAcentral.
GAUGAACGCUAGCGAUAGGCUUAGCACAUGCAAGUCGAGGGGCAGCACAAGGUAGCUUGCUAUCUGGGUGGCGACCGGCGCACGGGUGCGUAACGCGUAUGCAACUUGCCCUAUACAGGAGGAUAACCCGUCGAAAGACGGACUAAUACUGCGUAUGCUCACAACUUGGCAUCAAGUGGUGAGGAAAGAAAUUCGGUAUAGGAUAGGCAUGCGUCCCAUUAGCUUGUUGGUGAGGUAACGGCUCACCAAGGCAACGAUGGGUAGGGGAACUGAGAGGUUUAUCCCCCACACUGGUACUGAGACACGGACCAGACUCCUACGGGAGGCAGCAGUGAGGAAUAUUGGUCAAUGGGCGCGAGCCUGAACCAGCCAAGUCGCGUGAAGGAUGACUGUCUUAUGGAUUGUAAACUUCUUUUAUACGGGAAUAACAAGAGUCACGGGUGACUCCCUGCAUGUACCGUAUGAAUAAGCAUCGGCUAACUCCGUG